UCAGGCCUAGCACAUGCAAGUCGUACGAGAGUUUUUAACUCUAGUGGCGGACGGGUGAGUAACACGUGAGAAUUUGCCUUUAGGAGGGGGACAACAAUUGGAAACGAAUGCUAAUACCCCAUAUGCUUUAGAGUGAAAUGGAUUUUAUCCGCCUAGAGAGAAGCUCGCGGCUGAUUAGCUUGUUGGUAAGGUAAGAGCUUACCAAGGCGACGAUCAGUAUCUGGUUUGAGAGGACGAUCAGACACACUGGAACUGAGACGCGGUCCAGACUCCUACGGGAGGCAGCAGUGGGGAAUUUUCCGCAAAGGGCGAAAGCCUGACGGAGCAAUACCGCGUGAGGUAAAAAGGCCUAUGGGUUGUAAACCUCUUUUUCAGGGAGGAAUAAAUGAC
This 390-nucleotide ribosomal RNA is filed under the name uncultured bacterium. RNAcentral describes it as "bacterial SSU rRNA". It matches the Rfam family "Bacterial small subunit ribosomal RNA", at positions 42 to 457 of the family's 1533-position model. The record is from RNAcentral.